CCUACGGGGGGCUGCAGUAAGGAAUAUUGGACAAUGGGCGAAAGCCUGAUCCAGCCAUGCCGCGUGAGUGACGAAGGCCUUAGGGUUGUAAAGCUCUUUCAGCUGUGAGGAUAAUGACCGUAGCAGCAGAAGAAGCCCCGGCUAAUUUCGUGCCAGCAGCCGCGGUAAUACGAAAGGGGCAAGCGUUGUUCGGAAUCACUGGGCGUAAAGCGUACGUAGGCGGCGAAACAAGUCAGAAGUGAAAUCCCAGGGCUCAACCUUGGAACUGCUUUUGA
This 275-nucleotide ribosomal RNA is filed under the name uncultured bacterium. RNAcentral describes it as "partial 16S ribosomal RNA". It matches the Rfam family "Bacterial small subunit ribosomal RNA", at positions 338 to 630 of the family's 1533-position model. The record is from RNAcentral.